UGGGGAAUUUUGGACAAUGGGCGAAAGCCUGAUCCAGCAAUGCCGCGUGUGUGAAGAAGGCCUUCGGGUUGUAAAGCACUUUUGUCCGGAAAGAAAUCCUCUGGGUUAAUACCUCGGGGGGAUGACGGUACCGGAAGAAUAAGCACCGGCUAACUACGUGCCAGCAGCCGCGGUAAUACGUAGGGUGCAAGCGUUAAUCGGAAUUACUGGGCGUAAAGCGUGCGCAGGCGGUUUUGUAAGACGGAUGUGAAAUCCCCGGGCUUAACCUGGGAACUGCAUUCGUGACUGCAAGGCUAGAGUAUGGCAGAGGGGGGUAGAAUUCCACGUGUAGCAGUGAAAUGCGUAGAGAUGUGGAGGAAUACCGAUGGCGAAGGCAGCCCCCUGGGCCAAUACUGACGCUCAUGCACGAAAGCGUGGGGAGCAAACAGGAUUAGAUACCCUGGUAGUCCACGCCCUAAACGAUGUCAACUAGUUGUUGGGGAUUCAUUUCCUUAGUAACGUAGCUAA
RNAcentral lists this ribosomal RNA (507 nucleotides) under uncultured bacterium. RNAcentral describes it as "partial 16S ribosomal RNA". It matches the Rfam family "Bacterial small subunit ribosomal RNA", at positions 355 to 855 of the family's 1533-position model. The record is from RNAcentral.